UUAAAACCAACUACACAACUCCGUACAACUUUACACAACUCUGUACAACUGUACACCGUUCUAUAAAAAAAAAAGUUAAAGUUAAAGCAGAUCGUAUCGAGGUGCGUGUGAACAGUUAAAGCAGAUCGUAUCGAGGUGUGUGUGAACAGUUAAAGCAGAUCGUAUCGAGGUGCGUGUGUGAACAGUUAAAGCAGAUCGUAUCGAGGUGCGUGUGUGAACAGUUAAAGCAGAUCGUAUCGAGGUGCGUGUGUGAACAGUUAAAGCAGAUCGUAUCGAGGUGUGUGUGUGUGAACAGUUAAAGCAGAUCGUAUCGAGGUGCGUGUGAACAGUUAAAGCAGAUCGUAUCGAGGUGCGUGUGAACAGUUAAAGCAGAUCGUAUCGAGGUGUGUGAGUGAACAGUUAAAGCAGAUCGUAUCGAGGUGCAUGUGAACAGUUAAAGCAGAUCGUAUCGAGGUGUGUGUGUGAACAGUUAAAGCAGAUCGUAUCGAGGUGUGUGUGUGGACAGUUAAAGCAGAUCGUAUCGAGGUGUGUGUGAACAGUUAAAGCAGAUCGUAUCGAGGUGCAUUUGAACAGUUAAAGCAGAUCGUAUCGAGGUGUGUGUGAACAGUUAAAGCAGAUCGUAUCGAGGUGUGUGUGUGUGAACAGUUAAAGCAGAUCGUAUCGAGGUGUGCGUGUGAACAGUUAAAGCAGAUCGUAUCGAGGUGUGCGUGUGAACAGUUAAAGCAGAUCGUAUCGAGGUGCGUGUGAACAGUUAAAGCAGAUCGUAUCGAGGUGUGUGAGUGAACAGUUAAAGCAGAUCGUAUCGAGGUGCAUGUGAACAGUUAAAGCAGAUCGUAUCGAGGUGCAUGUGAACAGUUAAAGCAGAUCGUAUCGAGGUGUGUGUGAACAGUUAAAGCAGAUCGUAUCGAG
Molecule: long non-coding RNA, 909 nt
Organism: Silurus meridionalis
Lineage: Eukaryota; Metazoa; Chordata; Actinopteri; Siluriformes; Siluridae
Exons: 4
Source: RefSeq, a predicted model, not a curated record